AUUAGGUUACUUUUGGCUCUACUUGAAUUUUUAUAUAUAUAAAGUAACGGCCGAAGAUGAUUAAAUCGAGGCUUAAUUUUAGGAAAAAGUAAUUGCAAUUUAUGGCGAAUACAAGUGAAAUAAUUAAAAGUUUAUAACGUAUUAGCUGUUUUUUUUUGCUUUGCCUAAAUUAUUUUUGCCUUUUCAGGGUCCCCAUAUCAGAAGGUGGAGAAAACAUUUCUACCGUUUUCUUUUACUCUUAUCAAUAAAGUUUUUGCAGGACUUGAUAAUUUCCUCUACAAUAUGAUGUUUCUAGAAAAAAAAAAAAGGGCCAAACCUGUAGCUCCUGGUGAAAGAGGAGGAACUAGAUGAUUAGAGGCAUAUUUCAUCCACUAAAGCCUCUCAAGAAAAACAGAACUACAUAUAUUUUAAGUUUGUUUGUACCAGCUUAGGAAGAAGUGUCACUUCUUAAGGUAUAAAUGGAGGAGAGGAUACAUCUUCUACAUAAAUGAUUAUAGUGUUAAAAGAGAUUUUACACAAAGUUGGUUCUCUCCUUGCUAUGGUGAUUGUCGUGGAGAGAUCUUUGCUAAGUGAACUUCGAAGUGGAUAACCUGACCUGUGAGAUCCUUUUUAGGUUUGUUGUACCUUCAUGGGAAGAAAAUUUGCUAUCAGUUCUUCCUUGCAUGGAGGUUGUUAUUUUAGGAGCUGUUAAGUGUUCUGUGUAGUGUUGUAUUUUCUUGAGAUAUGCUUUGAACUUCUGCUAGAGGUGGAGUGGAUAGGUCUGUGAAGCGAUGUUUUGGUGGCCUUCGGCGACUAGGACUUUGGGCCGGCCGACCUACCUGCUUGUUUCCAUCUGGACCCGAAAAGAGCUCUUCUUCUAUUCAAAUAAGGAAAGGUUAUGAAGACAAAGUGAUGUCUUUCAACUGUAAAGAUGUUUGUGCCACCAACUACCAUGGAUUAUAAACCAUGAGGUCCCUAAAGGUGGUCACUUGUUCAUACACUACGAUAGAGUAUGCGAGGCAAUUUUAAAAUCACUUCUUUUAGGAGAAGAUCUACCAUUAUACAGACCAAAAAAAUUGAUCGUUGAGACAGGGAGUAAGUCAUGAUUUCUAUUUUAUUCAUCAUUGUUUCUUGAUUCAUUUAUUUUGAUUAACAAAAAAGUUGAAUUUGUAUAUGUAAAAUCUUUGUAUUUUUGACAUACAUCUUUACCACUACAAGAAAAGAUAAUUUUGUAUGGCCA
Capsella rubella is the source of this 1219-nucleotide long non-coding RNA. RefSeq lists it as uncharacterized. The record is from RefSeq and is a predicted model, not a curated record. NCBI's taxonomy places the organism in Eukaryota, Viridiplantae, Streptophyta, Magnoliopsida, Brassicales, Brassicaceae. The transcript is spliced from 5 exons.